AGGACGAACGCUGGCGGCGUGCUUAACACAUGCAAGUCGAGCGGAAAGGCCCUUCGGGGGUACUCGAGCGGGCGAACGGGUGAGGUAACGACGUGAGUAAUCUGCCCCUAGCUCUGGGAUAGCUCCGGGAAACCGGGAUUAAUACCAGAUAUGACCACUUUAGACAUCUGCUGUGGUGGAAAGAAUUUCGGCUAGGGAUGGACUCGCGGCCUAUCAGCUAGUUGGUGGGGUAAUGGCCUACCAAGGCGACGACGGGUA
RNAcentral lists this ribosomal RNA (258 nucleotides) under uncultured bacterium. RNAcentral describes it as "partial small subunit ribosomal RNA". It matches the Rfam family "Bacterial small subunit ribosomal RNA", at positions 26 to 285 of the family's 1533-position model. The record is from RNAcentral.